RNAcentral lists this ribosomal RNA (253 nucleotides) under uncultured bacterium. Its description in RNAcentral is "partial 16S ribosomal RNA". It matches the Rfam family "Bacterial small subunit ribosomal RNA", at positions 524 to 776 of the family's 1533-position model. The record is from RNAcentral.
UACGUAGGGUGCGGGCGUUAAUCGGAAUUACUGGGCGUAAAGGGUGCGCAGGCGGUUCUGCAAGUCAGGCGUGAAAUCCCCGGGCUUAACCUGGGAAUGGCGCUUGAAACUACGGGACUGGAGUAUGGCAGAGGGAGGUGGAAUUCCACGUGUAGCGGUGAAAUGCGUAGAGAUGUGGAGGAACACCGAUGGCGAAGGCAGCCUCCUGGGCCAAUACUGACGCUCAUGCACGAAAGCGUGGGGAGCAAACAGG